This 386-nucleotide ribosomal RNA is filed under the name Hipparchia neomiris (Corsican grayling). Its description in RNAcentral is "partial 16S ribosomal RNA". Lineage: Eukaryota; Metazoa; Arthropoda; Insecta; Lepidoptera; Nymphalidae. The record is from RNAcentral.
GUCUUUUUGAAAUCAAUUUAAAGUCUAAUCUGCCCACUGAUAAAUAUUAAAGGGCUGCAGUAUAAUGACUGUACAAAGGUAGCAUAAUCAAUAGUUUUUUAAUUGGAAACUUGAAUGAAAGAUUUGAUGAAAUAUAAACUGUCUCUUAUUUAUUAUUAGAAAUUUAUUUUUUAGUUAAAAAGCUAAAAUAAUUUUAUAAGACGAGAAGACCCUAUAGAGUUUUAUAUUUAUUUUUAUUUCAUAGGUAUAUAAAAAUUUAAAGUAAAAUAAAAUUAAAUAUUUCGUUGGGGUGAUCUAAAAAUUAAUUUAACUUUUUUUAAAAAUUAAACAUUAAUAAAUGAUUAAAUGAUCCAUUAAUAAUGAUUAUAAGAAAAAAUUACCUUAGG